GUGGGUCAGGGGUAUGGAGAAAUAUUAACCAAUAGUAGAAUAUUUCUGUCCCAAGGCAAGACUUUAUAAGUUGUUUUUAUUUUUUGUCACCUCUACUUCCUCCUACAUUAAGUUUCUCAGCGUUUCUCCAAGUUACUUUGCUUCUAAGAUCCUGUAAGACUCAAGAUCUCCCACAAAGAUAUUCUUCUUAGAAGCUCAGAAAC
RNAcentral lists this long non-coding RNA (203 nucleotides) under Fukomys damarensis (Damara mole-rat). RNAcentral describes it as "DAOA antisense RNA 1 conserved region 2 (ENSFDAG00000002563.1)". It matches the Rfam family "DAOA antisense RNA 1 conserved region 2". Lineage: Eukaryota; Metazoa; Chordata; Mammalia; Rodentia; Bathyergidae. The record is from RNAcentral.